GGCUAUUUGUCGAUAUGGUGAUUGAUUGUAAUACAGGUGGAAGACAGCUGAAUUGAGCUAAAUGAUAGCUGCAAGAUAAUCAUUUGCAUCUUAGAACCACAUCAGUAUUCCACCAACGAUACUUACUUUAGAUCGGCAAAUAGCUAAAUUGAGUAUCAUGUAUCAUCCAUAUCUUAGAGUCAUAUCGAUAGAGGACCGACAUCAUAAGGCAGAUCGAUAAUGAGCCGAAUUAUGUUUCAUCGAGAAUUAACUCUGAUCAAAUCAGGUCGAC
This 271-nucleotide long non-coding RNA is filed under the name Elaeis guineensis (African oil palm). RNAcentral describes it as "long non-coding RNA (EGUI_LNC011402)". Lineage: Eukaryota; Viridiplantae; Streptophyta; Magnoliopsida; Arecales; Arecaceae. The record is from RNAcentral.